Long non-coding RNA from Hippocampus zosterae (dwarf seahorse), 346 nucleotides. RefSeq lists it as uncharacterized. NCBI's taxonomy places the organism in Eukaryota, Metazoa, Chordata, Actinopteri, Syngnathiformes, Syngnathidae. The record is from RefSeq and is a predicted model, not a curated record. The transcript is spliced from 3 exons.
UCACCUGCUUCUUGGGGGGCGGGGCCGAGGGCCCGAGAGCGGCGCUGGGGAUCGUCAUGGGAGCAGGGCGCGGGAUCUUGUUGUCGCCGGCAGUGGGCAAUUCGAACACAUCCUCUUCAACGUGGGUCAGCUGGACAACACUGAACACACCCUCUUCACCACGGCUGGAAUAAUCCAUGAGGAACGCGGGCGUCCUACAGCAUCGCUUCCGUCUGCAUCCGGCCAGACGAGGGAAAAGGGCGACGCGCACGUUUGGGGAACACGGAGAGGCGGAAGUCAAGACAUGUCAGGUGCGCUCGUCAGAUGAAGACAUCCGCGAGGCUGCAAGAGGGAAGCAGAAAGUGAU